Molecule: ribosomal RNA, 1952 nt
Filed under: human gut metagenome
Description: bacterial LSU rRNA
Rfam family: Bacterial large subunit ribosomal RNA
Source: RNAcentral
UUAAAGUAGUAAGGGCGCAGGGUGGAUGCCUUGGCACUAAGAGCCGAUGAAAGACGUGAUAAGCUGCGAAAAGCUUCGGGGAGGAGCACAUAUCCAAUGAUCCGGAGAUAUCUGAAUGGGGAAACCCGGCAGAGGAAACCUCUGUCAGCGUGCAGUGAAUACAUAGCUGUACGUGGGGAACCCGGGGAACUGAAACAUCUAAGUACCCGGAGGAAGAGAAAGAAAAUUUAUCGAUUUCCAAAGUAGCGGCGAGCGAAAUGGAAAGAGCCCAAACCGUGAUGCGUGCAUCGCGGGGUUCGGACUGCGUUGUGGCAGACGUAAGAUAGGAGAACGGACUGGGAAGUCCGGCCGGAGAGAGUGAAAGCCUCGUAUCCGAAAUCCCAAGUCGCCUAGCAGGAUCCAGAGUAGGACGAGACACGAGAAACCUUGUCUGAACGAGCGGGGACCACCCCGUAAGGCUAAAUACUUCUUAGUGACCGAUAGCGCAUAGUACUGUGAAGGAAAGGUGAAAAGUACCCCGGGAGGGGAGUGAAAGAGAACCUGAAACCCUGUGUCUACAAGCUGUGGGACCUCUUUAUAUGAGGGACUGCGUACUUUUUGUAGAACGGUCCGGCGAGUUGUGCGUACUGGCGAGGUUAAGGACUUAAGGUCUGGAGCCGAAGUGAAAGCAAGCGUUAAUAGCGCGUCAAGUCAGUGAGUGCAGACCCGAAACCGGGUGACCUAUCCAUGUCCAGGUUGAAGCUUCCGUAAGAGGAAGUGGAGGACCGAACCCACAUCCGUUGAAAAGGGUGGGGAUGAGGUGUGGAUAGCGGAGAAAUUCCAAUCGAACCCGGAGAUAGCUGGUUCUCCUCGAAAUAGCUUUAGGGCUAGCCUCAUGAGAGUCUUAUGGAGGUAGAGCACUGAAUUGCCUAGGGGGCGUCAAAGCUUACCAAAGCAUAUCAAACUCCGAAUGCCAUCAAGAUGAUUCAUGGGAGUCAGACCAUACGAGAUAAGUUGGAUGGUCAAAAGGGAAAGAGCCCAGACCUACAGCUAAGGUCCCAAAGUACGUGUUAAGUGGAAAAGGAUGUGGGGAUUCUAAGACAACUAGGACGUUGGCUUAGAAGCAGCCAUUCAUUGAAAGAGUGCGUAAUAGCUCACUAGUCGAGAGUCCCUGCGCCGAAAAUGUCCGGGGCUGAAACACGACACCGAAGCUUAGGAAUGUGUAAACAUUGGUAGAGGAGCAUUGUUAGCGGGAUGAAGCCAUACCGUAAGGAGUGGUGGACUGCUAGGAAGAGAGAAUGCCGGAAUGAGUAGCGAGAUGAAGGUGAGAAUCCUUCAGGCCGAAUAUCUAAGGUUUCCAGAGUAAAGCUGAUCUGCUCUGGGUAAGUCGGGACCUAAGGCGAGGUCGAAAGACGUAGUCGAUGGAUAACAGGUUGAAAUUCCUGUACCGCAUAUAAACAGAACUGUGGGGACACAGACAGGGAAUGGAAUCCGGGAAUGGAGAUCCCGGUGCAAGCGAGGUAGGAGUGCUGUUGGCAAAUCCGCAGCACGAUCUGAAGACGUGACGCGUACCGAACAUAAGUAGGGAAGUCCAGGCCCCUGGCUGUCAAGAAAAGCCGCUAUCGUUUUAUAUGUGCCCGUACCGCAAACCGACACAGGUGGAUGAGGAGAGAAUCCUAAGGCCGACGGGAGAAGUAUUGUUAAGGAACUCGGCAAAAUGACUCCGUAACUUCGGGAGAAGGAGUGCCAGCGAGAGCUGGCCGCAGAGAAUUGGCCCAAGCAACUGUUUAGCAAAAACACAGGUCUAUGCAAAACCGUAAGGUGAAGUAUAUGGGCUGACGCCUGCCCGGUGCUGGAAGGUUAAGGGGAGAGGUUAGCGCAAGCGAAGCUUUGAACUUAAGCCCCAGUAAACGGCGGCCGUAACUAUAACGGUCCUAAGGUAGCGAAAUUCCUUGUCGGGUAAGUUCCGACCC